ACUGUCAUACCUUAAUUUUGCCCCACUCUUUUUCCAUUUUCAUUUUUUUUCUUUUCUUGCUCAGGCUAAAUUCAUUUGAUACGCCAUAAAAAGUUUCAUCUGGUCCACUUUACAUUUCAUUUUACUUAAUGGUUCAAAGGUUCUCCGUUAUUUGACUAUUGAUUUAUUUUUCUCAUUUCAAUAUUGUUAACCAUGCUCUGGUCAAUGUGGACUUUUACCAUUACUCUUAAC
RNAcentral lists this long non-coding RNA (231 nucleotides) under Lathyrus oleraceus (garden pea). Its description in RNAcentral is "Pisum sativum (pea) long non-coding RNA (PSAT_LNC009013)". The record is from RNAcentral. Lineage: Eukaryota; Viridiplantae; Streptophyta; Magnoliopsida; Fabales; Fabaceae.